AUAGGUGUGCUGGCUGCAGCCACUUCCCUCACCCACACUCUUUAUCUCUCACUCUCCAGCCGCUGACAGCCCAUUUUAUUGUCAAUCUCUGUCUCCUUCCCAGGAAUCUGAGAAUUGCUCUCACACACCAACCCAGCAACAUCCGUGGAGAAAACUCUCACCAGCAACUCCUUUAAAACACCGUCAUUUCAAACCAUUGUGGUCUUCAAGCAACAACAGCAGCACAAAAAACCCCAACCAAACAAAACUCUUGACAGAAGCUGUGACAACCAGAAAGGAUGCCUCAUAAAGGGGGAAGACUUUAACUAGGGGCGCGCAGAUGUGUGAGGCCUUUUAUUGUGAGAGUGGACAGACAUCCGAGAUUUCAGAGCCCCAUAUUCGAGCCCCGUGGAAUCCCGCGGCCCCCAGCCAGAGCCAGCAUGCAGAACAGUAAGUGCCUCUGGUCUUUCUGGGACUUCGGGCUCGGGGUGCGCGGACCCGAGGGUCA
This 487-nucleotide long non-coding RNA is filed under the name Homo sapiens (human). RNAcentral's name for it is "non-protein coding lnc-IMMP1L-7:2". The record is from RNAcentral. Lineage: Eukaryota; Metazoa; Chordata; Mammalia; Primates; Hominidae.